GUUUCUUUGAAAAUUGGCUUGAUGUGUCUGUCCAAGGGUCAUCUGGAGGAAAAAAUACAAGUAUAUCUUCAAACAAGUAGCUGAACCCACAGAUUUAUGUGACCAACGAAGCCUGAGCCUUUUGCUUCACGAUGCAGUCCAGAUCCCUCGGCAGCUGGGUGAGGUAGCUUCAUUUGGAGGCAGCACCAUUGAACCAAGUGUCCGCAGUUGCUUCCAACAUGCACUCAGACAUGAACUAAUGGAUAAGGAGGAGACAAUCAUAACUGCUUUGGAUUCAGCCCAUAGAAGGGCCAGAGGAGCCGCGCUGACACCUUCAUGUUUAAACAGAGGACACUUUUCUGCGUGCCACGAGAUGUAUAUCAGCCAUACCAAAAUGCUGCCUUUGCCUGAGACAGGGAAGAUCAACUGACUUUGGGGAAAUGGAGAAUCAUUCAUGAAUCCAGUUACUUUCUGAUCUGACAGCUUUGUGGCAUCUGAAUGGAUAACAAUUUGAUCUGGUAAUCUCAAUUGAUAGAGUGCAAAUGUGUAGUGAUGCAUUUUGGGAGCUCUGGUAAGUGAAAGAUGUUCACAAUGACUAGUAGAUCCCUAGAGAGCACUGAGAAACAAAGGGACCUUGAUGUCCAAAAGCAAGAGUUCAUGCCCUCUGCUUCUGGCCUUUCAGGCAAAGUUGGAUCCAACACUCCACUGAGUCUUAGAUCCCAUGAGCUCUUGUUUUGUUGACCAGUCUGCUAUCACUGACCUUAUCAAAAACAUAUAGACCACAUCAGAUGAAUUUCCCUCUUCAACACUUCUGAUAUCUCCUCAAUAAAAAUUAGAUAAAAUUUGCAAACCAUGGCAUUACCUCAACAAAGCCAUGCUGACUAUCCCCGAACAUUCCAUGUUUCUCCAAGUGCAGCGACAUUUUGUCCCUUAAAAUUCUUUCUGAUAACUUCCCUACCACCAAGGUUAGACUGGCUUGUAACUUCUGGAUCUGUCCUUUCUUCUUUUAUAUAAAAGUAUGAGCGGUCCUCUGGCACCUUAGCUGUGGCCAGAAAUGACUUGAAAAAUCUUUGCCAGGACCUUUUGAUAUCUCCUCCCCUGCUUCAUAAAGUCAUGCAGUAUAGAAACAGGCUCACUUGAUCAACAUCAAUGCCAACUAACAAACAUCAAACUACUGAUCCCAUUUACCUGCACUGAGUCAUUACCUGCCAUACCCUGGCCCUUUAAAUGCUCAUCUGUUGCUUCUUUAAUAUUGCAAGCGUAUCUGCCUUCUCCACCUUGUCAAGCAGCAUAUUACAUGUUUGUAUCACUUUUGGUGAAAACACUUGCCUCAGAUCCCCUCUAAAUAGCUGACAGUUUACCUGAAAUCUAUGCCCCCUGACUUAAACUCGUCUACUGGUUCUCACAAUCAAUCUAUGCCUCUCAUAAUUUUGUAUACGUCGAUCAGAUUUCCCCUCAGCCUCCUCUGCUGCAUGGAAAACGCAAUUAGCCUACCAGUUUCUCCUCAUAAAACUUGCAUUCAAUCACAAAACAACACCCUGAAACAUAUACUAUCAACCAACCUGGCCAACAUCUCUGUCUCCGGCUUGCUACAGUGUUCCAGUGAAGCCCAGCACAAGCAGACAGAACAACACCUCAUUUUCUACUUGGGGACCUGACAGCCCUCCAGACUUAACAUUGAGUUCUGCAAUGUUAGGGCCUAAACUCUCCCAUAUCCCAGCGCCCCCACCCCACACACCAACCCUCUGCUCUCAGUAACACUGUCUGCCCGUCACAGGGCCCUCACCCCCUCCUCUAAGUAAUACUGCCCGUCACAGGGCCCUCG
Molecule: long non-coding RNA, 1804 nt
Organism: Stegostoma tigrinum
Lineage: Eukaryota; Metazoa; Chordata; Chondrichthyes; Orectolobiformes; Stegostomatidae
Exons: 4
Source: RefSeq, a predicted model, not a curated record